Molecule: ribosomal RNA, 62 nt
Filed under: Oxalis oculifera
Lineage: Eukaryota; Viridiplantae; Streptophyta; Magnoliopsida; Oxalidales; Oxalidaceae
Description: partial 26S ribosomal RNA
Rfam family: Eukaryotic large subunit ribosomal RNA
Source: RNAcentral
GCGACCCCAGGUCAGGCGGGACUACCCGCUGAGUUUAUGCAUAUCAAUAAGCGGAGGAAAUG